This is a long non-coding RNA of Xenopus laevis (African clawed frog), 663 nucleotides long. RefSeq lists it as uncharacterized. The record is from RefSeq and is a predicted model, not a curated record. The transcript is spliced from 2 exons. Lineage: Eukaryota; Metazoa; Chordata; Amphibia; Anura; Pipidae.
CAUAGUUUUCUUUUAAGACCCAUUUUAUAGAAAGUCAUGAGUUUGAGGCUCACAGACCUCUUGGCCUGUGCUAUAUGGAGAGGAGACAUGAAACAGAGUUUCACUCUGUAUAAUUUUUUUAAUGUUUUGUAGGCUAGCCAUCAUGGCACAGUUAGAGGUUUCUGGACUGAAAACCUGAACCACUUGCACAUCCCCCUAUCACCGACCCACUUGUAAGAGCUGUUCGGUGCAGAGAAAAUUGGGACUUUCCAGUACAAACGAGGGACUGCGGGUUGAGCUGUCAAAAGCAGGACUGUCCCUCUGAAAACAGGACAGUUAAGAGGAAUGCUAUUGCAGUGGUUGUUACAACUCCAUACAGGCCCGACAGAGAGGUGUCACGUGGAAAUCAGACACAAACACAGCAAUUGGAGCCAGAAUAACUGUGCAGCCAUUACAGUUCUUUCAUUCAUACAGAUAUUUUAGUGCUAGAUCUGCACCUACUCUUUGAAAUAAUCUCUACUUACAGGGGUGACAUGUAUUGGCACACAUUACAUUGUAUAUUAUAGAGGUCAUUUACAACCCAAGGCAGUGUGCAAAGUGCAAAUAAGCAGCCAUAAUGCCGUAUUUGCAUAUCACAUAUUAAGUACUGGCUAUAUAAUAUUUAAUAAACAUUAAUUACUUUCA